Molecule: ribosomal RNA, 162 nt
Filed under: Triticum aestivum (bread wheat)
Lineage: Eukaryota; Viridiplantae; Streptophyta; Magnoliopsida; Poales; Poaceae
Description: partial small subunit ribosomal RNA
Source: RNAcentral
AUGUGCAGUACGAGCAUCUUAAGUACAUGUGUUCUCAUUCUUGGUUUUCUAGCUCAUAAUCACAUUGGCCCAGGACAUAUUCCCAUACAUAUAAUUACCACAGUACUAUGGUUCUGUAAUAUCUCUAUGCUCAUACUAAACAUAUAUGGAGCAAUGAGCUAA